UGGCGACGGGUGAGUAACGCGUGGAAAACCUGCCGUAUACUGGGGGAUAACACUUAGAAAUAGGUGCUAAUACCGCAUAAGCGCACAGCUUCGCAUGAAGCGGUGUGAAAAACUCUGGUGGUAUACGAUGGUUCCGCGUCUGAUUAGCUAGUUGGUGGGGUAAUGGCCUACCAAGGCAACGAUCAGUAGCCGGCCUGAGAGGGUGAACGGCCACAUUGGGACUGAGGCACGGCCCAAACUCCUACGGGAGGCAGCAG
This 257-nucleotide ribosomal RNA is filed under the name uncultured bacterium. RNAcentral describes it as "partial 16S ribosomal RNA". It matches the Rfam family "Bacterial small subunit ribosomal RNA", at positions 96 to 354 of the family's 1533-position model. The record is from RNAcentral.